UGUGUUCAAGUUUUUGAGGGCGCACGGUGGAUGCCUUGGCAUCAGGAGCCGAUGAAGGACGUGGGAGCCUGCGAUAUGCCUCGGGGAGUCGGCAACCAGACUUUGAUCCGGGGAUGUCCGAAUGGGGAAACCUGGCACUCGUUAUGGGGUGUCGCCGCCGUCUGAAUGUAUAGGGCGGUUGGUGGGAACGCGGGGAAGUGAAACAUCUCAGUACCCGCAGGAAGAGAAAACAAUAGUGAUUCCCUGAGUAGUGGUGAGCGAAAGGGGAUGAGGCUAAACCUUGUGCGUGUGAUACCCGGCAGGGGUUGCGUAUGGGGGGUUGUGGGAUGUGCCUGUGUCUGGUCUGCCGGCUGGGCGGGGAGUGAGAAAAGGUGUGUGUAGCUGAAUGGUUUGGGAUGGCCGACCGUAGACGGUGAGAGUCCGGUAGGUGAAACGCAUACCUCUCCCUUGGGUGUUUUCCCGAGUAGCACGGGGCUCGUGGAAUCUCGUGUGAAUCUGCCAGGACCACCUGGUAAGCCUAAAUACUUCCUGAUGACCGAUAGCGGACCAGUACCGUGAGGGAAAGGUGAAAAGUGCCCCGGUGAGGGGUCGUGAAAGAGUACCUGAAACCGUGUGCCUACAAGCCGUCAGAGCCUGCACCCAGGAUGCGUCCUGGGGGGUGCGGUGAUGGCGUGCCUUUUGAAGAAUGAGCCUGCGAGUUAUGGUGUGUGGCGAGGUUAACCCGUGGGGGGUAGCCGUAGCGAAAGCGAGUCUGAAGAGGGCGUUUGAGUCGCAUGCUGUAGACCCGAAGCGGAGUGAUCUAGCCAUGGGCAGGGUGAAGCGCCGGUAAGACGGUGUGGAGGCCCGAACCCACCAGGGUUGAAAACCUGGGGGAUGACCUGUGGUUAGGGGUGAAAGGCCAAUCAAACUCCGUGAUAGCUGGUUCUCCCCGAAAUGCAUUUAGGUGCAGCGUCACGUGUUUCUUGCCGGAGGUAGAGCUACUGGAUGGCCUAGGGGCCUUACCGGGUUACCGAAGUCAGCCAAACUCCGAAUGCCGGUAAGUGAGAGCGUGGCAGUGAGACUGCGGGCGAUAAGGUUCGUAGUCGAGAGGGAAACAGCCCAGAUCAUCGGUUAAGGCCCCUAAGCGUGUGCUAAGUGGGAAAGGAUGUGGAGUUGCGAUGACAACCAGGAGGUUGGCUUAGAAGCAGCCACCCUUGAAAGAGUGCGUAAUAGCUCACUGGUCAAGUGAUUCCGCGCCGAUAAUGUAGCGGGGCUCAAGCACACCGCCGAAACCGUGGCACUCCAACCUUGUUGGGGUGGGUAGGGGAGCGUCCUGUUCGCCGGUGAAGCAUCAGGGUGACCUGGUGUGGAGGGUUCAGGAGUGAGAAUGCAGGCAUGAGUAGCGCAUGAGCAGUGAGAAACUGCUCCGCCGGAUGACCAAGGGUUCCUGGGGCAGGCUAAUCCGCCCAGGGUAAGUCGGGACCUAAGGCGAGGCCGAGAGGCGUAGUCGAUGGACAACGGGUUGAUAUUCCCGUACCCGCUGGCACGCGCCCAUGCUGAACCCGCUGAUGCUAACCACCCAAACCUUCUUUCGGGCCUUCGGGCCUGGUUGUAGGGGGAGGCUGGGACCCGAGGUGGUAGUAGGCAAGCGAUGGGGUGACGCAGGAGGGUAGCUCAGCCCAGGCGAUGGUUGUCCUGGGGUAAGCAUGUAGCCCGCACCGCAGGUAAAUCCGUGGUGCGCACAGGGUGAGAUGUGAUGCCGAGCCGUUUUAGGUGAAGUGAGUGAUCCCAUGCUGCCAAGAAAAGCCUCUAGCGAGUGUGUCGGUGGCCCGUACCCCAAACCGACUCAGGUGGUCAGGUAGAGAAUACCAAGGCGAUCGGGUGAACUGUGGUUAAGGAACUCGGCAAAUUACCCCCGUAACUUUGGGAGAAGGGGGACCCCUGCUGGUGACCGAACUUGCUUUGUGAGCUGGUGGGGGUCGCAGUGACCAGGGGGAAGCGACUGUUUACUAAAAACACAGGUCCGUGCGAAGUCGUAAGACGCUGUAUACGGACUGACGCCUGCCCGGUGCCGGAACGUUAAGAGGACCGGUUAGAGGAGUUUACUUCUCGAAGCUGAGAAUCUAAGCGCCGGUAAACGGCGGUGGUAACUAUAACCAUCCUAAGGUAGCGAAAUUCCUUGUCGGGUAAGUUCCGACCUGCACGAAUGGCGUAACGACUUCCCCGCUGUCUCAACCACAGGCCCGGCGAAAUUGCAGUACGAGUAAAGAUGCUCGUUACGCGCAGCAGGACGGAAAGACCCCGGGACCUUCACUAUAGCUUGGCAUUGGCGUUUGGAACGGUUUGUGUAGGAUAGGUGGGAGACUGUGAAGCGGGUACGCCAGUAUCCGUGGAGUCGUUGGUGAAAUACCACUCUGGUCGUUUUGAGCGUCUAACCCGCGCCCGUGAUCCGGGUGGGGGACAGUGCCUGGUGGGUAGUUUAACUGGGGCGGUUGCCUCCUAAAAGGUAACGGAGGCGCCCAAAGGUUCCCUCAGCCUGGUUGGUCAUCAGGUGGCGAGUGCAAGGGCACAAGGGAGCUUGACUGUGAGACGGACGUGUCGAGCAGGUGCGAAAGCAGGGCCUAGUGAUCCGGCAUCUACGUGUGGAAGUGGUGUCGCUCAACGGCUAAAAGGUACCCCGGGGAUAACAGGCUGAUCUUCCCCAAGAGUCCAUAUCGACGGGAUGGUUUGGCACCUCGAUGUCGGCUCGUCGCAUCCUGGGGCUGGAGUAGGUCCCAAGGGUUGGGCUGUUCGCCCAUUAAAGCGGCACGCGAGCUGGGUUUAGAACGUCGUGAGACAGUUCGGUCCCUAUCCGCUGCGCGCGUAGGAGACUUGCAAGGAUCUGUCCCUAGUACGAGAGGACCGGGACGGACGAACCUCUGGUGUGCCAGUUGUCCCGCCCGGGGCACGGCUGGUUGGCUACGUUCGGACGGGAUAACCGCUGAAAGCAUCUAAGCGGGAAGCCUUCCUUAAGAUGAGGUCUCCCCCC
This 3007-nucleotide ribosomal RNA is filed under the name Actinomadura craniellae. Its description in RNAcentral is "bacterial LSU rRNA". It matches the Rfam family "Bacterial large subunit ribosomal RNA". Lineage: Bacteria; Bacillati; Actinomycetota; Actinomycetes; Streptosporangiales; Thermomonosporaceae. The record is from RNAcentral.